GAUCCUGCUCAGGAUGAACGCUAGCUACAGGCUUAACACGUGCAAGUCGAGGGGCAGCAUGGUCUUAGCUUGCUAAGGCCGAUGGCGACCGGCGCACGGGUGAGUAACGCGUAUCCAACCUGCCUUACACUCUUGGACAGCCUUCUGAAAGGGAGAUUAAUACAAGAUGUUAUCAUGGGUAAGCAUUUUCGCAUGAUUAAAGGUUUACCGGUGUAAGAUGGGGAUGCGUUCCAUUAG
Molecule: ribosomal RNA, 237 nt
Filed under: uncultured bacterium
Lineage: Bacteria
Description: partial 16S ribosomal RNA
Rfam family: Bacterial small subunit ribosomal RNA
Source: RNAcentral